Molecule: long non-coding RNA, 455 nt
Organism: Austrofundulus limnaeus
Lineage: Eukaryota; Metazoa; Chordata; Actinopteri; Cyprinodontiformes; Rivulidae
Exons: 3
Source: RefSeq, a predicted model, not a curated record
CUCUGUCUCUUUCAGAGGAACUGCUUGUUUAAAGGAGGAAAUCUGGUGUCUGUUUGCAGUGUUGGGGAGGACCGAGCCAUCCACAGGUUUAUGUUUGGUGUCACCCACAGAUCAGGAAGAACCUGGAUCUGAGGUUCUGACCCAGCUCAGGAACAUGUGUGGCUCUGCAGUGAUGGGAAACCCAUGAGACACACCAACUGGUGCCCACAUGAACCUAAUAAUGACAGAAAGGAGCGUUGCUUGAAAAUGAAUCAUGCAGGCAGGAAGUGUUGGAACGACCUGCCCUGUGCCGUGUGUCGACCAUCUGUCUGCACCAAACAGAGAAGGUUCUGGAUCCGGAUCCAUGGUUGAACAAGAUGAAGCUUCAUACAGAACCAGGAGGUGAAGUUACUUAUUGCAUCUUUAAUAAAAAUGUAUAAAAAAUUCAACUCAGCUUUAACUCCUGCAAACUGAAC